Molecule: long non-coding RNA, 313 nt
Organism: Solanum pennellii
Lineage: Eukaryota; Viridiplantae; Streptophyta; Magnoliopsida; Solanales; Solanaceae
Exons: 2
Source: RefSeq, a predicted model, not a curated record
CUCUAAAUUAAUAUUUAUUUGAGAUGGAAAAAUCAAAGAAUGCUAUAAUAUGCAUGAUUUUUAUCAUGUUUGUUCUUUAUACACCAUCAAUUCAUGCUACUCAAGAGCCAUUAUUUGCACCUCAACCAAUAACAUUUGAAUUAUUUUUUCCAAGUCGUAGCACUGCCAUGAGAAAAACAAAAAAUUGCUCUGCAACAGUGUGCAAAAAAGGCAAAUGUUGUUGUGCUUAUUUUUUUCAUAGAUGUAUAAUGUGUUGUGGAAGGAUGAAUUAAUAUAUUUAUCUCUUCAUGUUUAAAAGAGUUUUCUUGUAUUA